This 497-nucleotide ribosomal RNA is filed under the name uncultured bacterium. Its description in RNAcentral is "partial 16S ribosomal RNA". It matches the Rfam family "Bacterial small subunit ribosomal RNA", at positions 28 to 507 of the family's 1533-position model. The record is from RNAcentral.
GAUGAACGCUGGCGGCGUGCCUAAUACAUGCAAGUCGAGCGAACAGAUGAGGAGCUUGCUCCUCUGACGUUAGCGGCGGACGGGUGAGUAACACGUGGAUAACCUACCUAUAAGACUGGGAUAACUUCGGGAAACCGGAGCUAAUACCGGAUAAUAUAUUGAACCGCAUGGUUCAAUAGUGAAAGACGGUUUUGCUGUCACAUAUAGAUGGAUCCGCGCCGCAUUAGCUAGUUGGUAAGGUAACGGCUUACCAAGGCAACGAUGCGUAGCCGACCUGGGAGGGUGAUCGGCCACACUGGAACUGAGACACGGUCCAGACUCCUACGGGAGGCAGCAGUAGGGAAUCUUCCGCAAUGGGCGAAAGCCUGACGGAGCAACGCCGCGUGAGUGAUGAAGGUCUUCGGAUCGUAAAACUCUGUUAUUAGGGAAGAACAAAUGUGUAAGUAACUAUGCACGUCUUGACGGUACCUAAUCAGAAAGCCACGGCUAACUACGUG